AGUUCAAGGAUCUUUAAGAAGCAUAUUCCCACAAUUAAUGAAAAAAAUAUAUAUUUGUUUCCUUUGCCAUAAGCUCAUUAUUGCUUUCCUUCAAGCUCAAGGGCCCUAAGAGGUUUGGAAAAGCAAUUUUGCCUAAUGAUGGCCUAAUCUAUACCCGUUAUUAUUUAAUAAAACUCAACCAGCGGAGAUUCAGAGGAUAAAUAGAGAAACUUGUUAAGUUCAGAAUGUCAACAUCAAGCUACCCAUGUGAUCUGUCAAAGUCAUUCAGGAAAAUUAGACAGUUAAUUAUCAACUCUAAAGCAAGUGGGUUUAGUUAAUUACUUUAAUGUCGGCGAAAAGCUUGAUUAAUUUAAUCUAGUGACAACACCAUCUACAAAUGGAACCUCGAGGGAACCACAGUAAUCCACCCAGAGAGAAAAAAAAAAAGAACAAAUAAAUAAAGCAGUUUACAGUGAUUCUUCAAAUAAUAUAUUUGUUUGGCUAGUGGGAAAGGUAAGGUUGGCAUCCUGAAAUCUAAGACCUCAUAAUAAUGCAAGGUAUCUCUCUUCCUCUUUUAUUUAACAACCAUCAUUAGCACAGUGACAAGAUUUAGGUCAUGAUCAAUGUUGUAAUUUUAUUGAUGCCGGCAUUCUUUAUACUUGUUUAUCUUACCAUCCAUAAAUUAGCACAAAUAAUUUAUUCUAGGCUGAGAAAUUAGAAUACAAGCGAAACAAGAACAACAUAGGGGAAGUUACAUGAAUGUUAUUUAUUCAAAUCGAAACAACAGAGAAUGUGCCCUCACUCGAGCAUGGUGAUGGAUUGAAUGAAUUGGCAAACGAAGCUACUGUGACUUCAUCACUCGUCAGAGCAUUAAUGAUUUCUUCAUCACUUUAUACGUCCCAUGCUGUUAAGCAAUGUUAAUUAAGGCCUCAAAUCAAUGAUUAAUUUUCUGUUAAGGAAUGGUUGAAAUAGAGAAAUUCUUUGGCCCACAGUUUAUUUAUGGUGAGAAGGGAGCAAAAACCACCACAGAGUUGUGACCACCAAAGCCAAAUGAAUUUGAGAUAGCUGCAUAAACAAGAAAUUAAAAAAACAAACCAUUAGUUAAAUAAGAUAUAUAAUUAUUCCAGUUCUAGAAGGCGUACAGCUAAAGUACGCUAACUGUUUGACAAGUUUGUUUGUGUAGUAUUAGCUAGGUCGAAUUAGUAAUCAACGAGUAUAGUAAUAUAUAUUCAAAGAUUCUAAAAAUAUUUUAUGCGAAGCCAAGAACCGAAACACGUACCAACGUUAACGUGAUGCUGUUUCUUCACAUUUGGAACGGUGUCGAUUGUAACCUCAGGCUCCAAGUUCUGCCAGGAAAAGUAACAUAAGUCCACAAAAUGUAUUAGAAAAAAAUAUUGUCGGCUCUUUAGAUGAAAUGGAGAAAAGUCUUAAGGGCUGAGAAAGAGUACAUCUUGGUUAAGGGUUGGAUGCAACCAGCCAGUGGUGAUUGCUUUUAUGGUUGUUAUAGCUUCCAAUCCGCCAGCUGCCCCAAGCCCAUGUCCAAUCAUCGACUGAAUCAUGAAAUAAGAAACAUAGGGGAUUACAUUAACUCUCAUUUAAGAUCAUGAUAUAUAUGAUUAAUGGGAUAUUUAUGUAUCUCACCUUAGUUCCAUUCAUCUUCAUUUCAGAUGUGUCCUUGAAGACCUUCUUAAUUGCAUUAACCUCAGCCAAAUCCCCUGCUAAUGUGGAUGUUGCAUGAGCAUUCACGUAGUUAACCUGUAUACAAAUUGAAGUUUCACAUUAAUCUAGAGGUCAUUCAAAUGAAAUUUUUUAAGAUUUAUCUAACCUCUUCAGGGGAAACUCCUGCAUCUUCUAAACUCUUGGCUAUGCAAGAUGAAACUCCGAGGCCAUCUGACCUUGGAUCUGUCAUGUGAUGAGCAUCACAGGUUACCGCACCUCCCAGAUACUCGGCAAUUAUGUUAGCUCCUCUUUUCAUUGCAUGCUCCAAGCUCUCCAUAACCUGUUCAGUUUCACAAAGAGCAAAGUUAGCACAAACAAAAAAUGUCAAGAAAAAAUAAGGACGACCAAUCAAACUAUGUAUAUAUCCUGCAGAAAACAGACAGGAUUUUUUUAAUUAUAAUUAUUAUUUAUAAUUACUAACCAGUAUGCCACAGCCCUCUCCCAUGACAAAGCCAUCGCGAUCUUUGUCCCAAGGUCUCGAAGCUCUUUUGGGGUAUUCAUUCCUUUGGGACAGAGCUCGACAAGCAAUAAACCCACCAACCCCAGUAGGUAUAAUAGCAGCCUCAGUCCCACCAGCGACCAUGAUAUCUGUUUCACCUCUUCUGAUGUGAUUUGCAGCAGCGUAAAAGCAAUAAUUAGCAGUUGCACAAGCUGUUGAAAUAGAAUAAUUUGGUCCCAUCAAACCGGUGUCUAUGGCUAACAAUGCUGAACCCAUGUUGGUGAUUGAAUACGGUAUGAAAAAUGGAGUUAUCUUCUUAUAUCCCUUUUGAAUAAGAGCUUCAACUCCAGUGGUAAAAGACGUGAGGCCUCCCAUGCCUGAUCCCACUACAACUCCAAUUCUUGUUCUGUCCAUCUGCACACAUGGAUGAAAAAAUUAAUUUAAUUCUGAUUAGUGCUGAGUCUAGAAAAAUGAAAGGGGGAGGGGCUGCCACUGCCACAUGAUGUAGGGUGUUGUGUGUUGCGAGCAGUGUAUCUUCUGGAGAUCCUAACUUGGGUUACAGUUGUCUGUUUUCGGCGUAUAAUAUAUUGUUUUGAAGCUUAUGAUGAGACAAACAAAAUCCACAAUUGUCUAAGCUGUUCCGCUCCGUGAUCAAACUGGAAAUUCCGUUUCUUUCCUGGUCAUUUUUUAGUUUUAAAAUUCUUUCCUAUUUUUCCUUAUUCUUCUGGGAUUUUUAUCUUUUUUUUUUUUUUUCUAAAACUCAGAUUUGAAUACCAUUUGUUUUUCUUUUCUUAUUUUGAUUAGAAUAGUUUAAUUAUCAUAUUAGAUUUUAGAUUUGCCUAUUUUAAUAAAUUCGCGUUAUUUAGACUUAUUAUAAAAAUAGUUCAAAAUCCUAAUUUUAUUCGUUCAAGACUUUUCAAUAAAACUUAUCAUUAUUCAGAAAUCUACUUUCUUAUACCAGAAAACUCAAUAAAGUUUCCGUUUCGUCACCACAUUUUGCUACUUAAGACAAUGUGACUGACUUACAUUUUCGAGGACUUGAGGGCUGAGGCUGGCUUCUUCAAGGGCUCUUCUGCCAGCAACCAAGCAGUACCUCCAGCAAUCAUCAAGCCGCCGAUCAUUCUUUCCAUCGAUGUAGCCUUUGGAAGAAAAAUCACGAAUCUGGCCCCCAAAUCGAACAGAGAAGCUCGAAGCAUCAAAUCUGUCGAUUGGGCUAAUUCCGCUCUCUCCCUCUAGAAGUUUGUUAUAAAAUUUAUCAAUGUCACUGCCAAAUACUGAUACAAGUCCCAUUCCAGUAAUGACAAUUCUUUUUUUGGGAUCUUUUUCCCUCUUGGGAGCUGAAGCCGUUGGGGAAGCCAUAACCCUGAUGGUUCUGCAUUUUGGACCUGUGAGUGGAUGUGAAACUAAUUUAAAACCACAUGAAUAGUAGCUACUCGCAGUACUACCCCUAAAGAGAUAAGUUAUUGAAUCAUAAAACUUUAAAAAACAUUGGGAUCACAUUCACAUCCAUAAAACGCACAUACGUAGUCUAUGUUUAAUUCGUAUGAGCUGAGCUAUAAAGCUUCCUAUUCCUCAUUUGGCCUUAGCAACAAAUAUUUCUAACCAAUAACUGAAAUGACCAAGAAUGAAAUAUAAGUAAUACCUGAAGAACAAAUUAACCCACUUUGCUUAAUAGUAGUAGUAAUGCCAGCUGAUGCAAAUUGAAAGUUCUCCGCUGGCCUAAGCCCACUGUACUGAGCUAGAGAAGCAGCCCCAUUGCUCUUUACUUGUCUGUUUCCAAAAACCACCCCGAGAGCAGAAGCCGUGCUAACAAAGCUUGCCAUUUGCACAACUCUUCUAAUCAAUGCGAGUCUCUCUCUGUCUAACUGAAACAGGUUGUGGUAAUUGAAUACAUAUAGAAGAAAAAACUAAAGUGAGAGCUUUGGGUUUGCAGUGAAAGAGGACUUAACAAUGAAAGCACUUCGUUUGUUUCGUUCAAGUUUUGUUCAUUUUGGUAAGGGACAGAUUUUGGCGAUGGGAGCAAAAUAAACGCAAUGCACUCCCCCUUUUUCUUCAUUUCGUUUUAACCGCUUAACUACCCCGAACAACCAACAUUUCGGUAGUUUAUUGCCUCGUGUCUGCUGUUUGCCACGUGUCACUCUGUAACCGCCAUUUCGUUUCUGUUUUUCGCCUUUCCAAUUGCACCGCGCGUCGACGUUAAUGUAGCGUCCCCACGCUACCUGGGGCCAGGGCCGACCCGCACUCUUUCGCACUUAAAUUUGAAAUUGAAAGUCCCAAAAAAACUGGUUCAAUUCAUAAAUAAAUUAGUUGCCUCCAAAAUUGGUGUUUGUUUGGGAGGUCUUCAAAUAAUCUUUUAAUCGAUCGCCCAAUUUCAAAUCUUGAACUGCUUACAAAAUUAUUUAAAUUUUGAAAACGUACCAGAUUAUACAAAGCUAUUAGAAUUUAGAAACCUGCAAUUUUGGUUCGGUUUAUUAGGCUUGUUAUUGUAAAUCAGAAAUGGCAACCAAGGAAUUUGGAUCUUGCCGACUUGGGCUGGGGUCAAAUACGCGUGUCGGUUUAGUGAUAUUAUAUCUGGGCCCAUCUGACAUUGGUCCAUUUGGUUAAGACAAAUGGUUUUAAACAUAGGUGUUUGACUGGUCAUAAGUCUUUAUCACAAGAAAUUUUAAAAUAUAAUGAAGAAAAUAUAACUAAUUAAUAUAUUUAUGAUAUGCAUAAUUAAAAUUAAUAUACUCAUCACUUGUAUGAUAGUUUUUUUAAAAUAAAUACAUAUAUGUUAUAACAUCAUUUACUUAUACACAAUAUCUUUUAUAUAUUUUAGAAUUUCUCUUUAUCACUAAUACUACUAAUAGCAUUACAUUUUUGCCACAAAAAAUAAAUUAUAGGGGUUUGCAAAAUUCUCCAAUAGCACCUUUUUUUUUCCCUCUCCAAUUUUCUUUUAAAGGAAUGAAUUGCAUUUACUAAACCUAAUUUGAAACUUCUUAUUCGUUUAUCUGUUUAACUGUUUUCUUUGUUGUUUGUUCUUCUUAUUUCAAUUUGCUUCAUUUUUAGAAGAUUAGAAUCAAUUCAAACAGAACCAAAAACAAUCGGUCCGGAAAAUUCUUAUCCGAUUUCAACUCAAUUAAGGCAAAAUGGCCACCUUAAAGUAGAUGGUUAAGCUGUCAAGAGCAUACAUUGCGAGCAACUUUACAUAAUUAAUCUCUCUAAUACAAUCAUAUAGAUGGAUGAGCUAAAAUUCUACACUCUUAUUAUUACACAAUAUUUUAUAAAAGAAAUAAGAAGUCUGAAUUUCCCCUACCUAAACCUUUGCCACAAGGCAGUUCACUUGUUGAUGAAUUGGACCGGCAACCAGGCCACCCGAUAUCCUCAUAUAUAGCAAUACUUUCAGUUACAAACACCAGCAAUAAAAUCAUCGCCGUUACCAUCGAAUAAUGAUAGACUAUUUUACUUUGGGCCUAAUUCUGAAUCAAGAAUCGAGCAUUAACUGUGCGAGUUUCUUGAUCCCCUAAUCAAAUUACACGCAGCUACCAGCGAUCAUGUAUCCUGAUUUUGGGAGUGUAAGAUACGUGAAGUGGAUUGCAAUAUUAUCAAACAAAUGUCGCUAAGCAGUUUAAUUAAUUUAGAAGAUAUUAGUAAGGAAAAUGCUAUUUGAACAUCUAGUAGGAAGAUAAAAACGACAAUAUAGUAAUAUAAACAGUACUAUCAUUUUGUAUGCUGUAGUAUUACUGUAAUAUGAACCAUAGCUAUAUUUUUGUCUUCCUGCUAUCUUGCUACUGUUCAAAUAACAGUAUUCUAAUAGUAAAUAAAUACUAAAAAUAGAGUGAAGGAAAGGCAACUGGCUCUAAGCUCUAGCCUCUAGCUCUACUUGUUUUAACUUUUUGACACAAUUUAGCUGUCAAAAUUAAGCUAGGCAAUUGUUGUUGUAUAAAAAUGAUAAUAAAUCACUUUUAUUUGACUAACCAUAGUGGCGUCUACCAAACAUUCGUAAAAGUUAAAACAACUAGAUCUUUCAUUUCACAGCAGUCCACGGGGAACCUGAAACAUGUUUCUUUCUUCCAUGUUUAAUGGUUCAUGUACGUUUCAUGUCUAAGUAAUUGAGCUGAGAGGCAAUGAAAAUGUUGAAUGCGUUCGUACAAGCCAAGAAAGCCCCAGCAAGCAGCAGCCAGCGGAACUUUUGAAAGUAAUCAAGGAAUACGGAACCCAGACACACACACACACACACACACCCCAUCUAACGGUCUGUGAUACGACUCUCUCCAGUCUGCCGGUGGCAUUAUUGCCCAUGUCCAUUAUAAAGCAUAACGACUGUUUUGUUUUAUCAAUCUCUAGCUGGUUAUGAAUUUAUAAUUGGUUUAAAAUCUGAGUAAGGAAAGAUAGAGCAGUCUGUUGAUCAUCAGAUGGUUAGUGGAGAGUGGUUUCAAAGAUCUUGUGGUGAGGCACAAGUCUGUUUAUCAUAUCAUCUUUAAUUGGCCCAAAUAUACAAAGCCCAAUUUCCUUUUUUAUUUGAUUUGGGUCCACAAUGCCGGCCAAUUCUUUUCAAUGCGCCACGUUCGUCCUGCUACAGUGACUUGCCGGUUGAAUUGGUUGCAUCCAUUGCAGCUUUUGGUAAAAAGGAAAGGAAAUUUUUAGCAGAUUAAUAAGGACCUGUCUAUGGUACAGAUUCUGUAACAAACAUCUCCCGUCAUCCCACCAUCCGAUUUUCUAUUGUUCAGUUUCUCACUCCACAUCCAACCACAUCCAACGGCUGAUGCUGCAGUCUGUACCUUACAGAUUCUGUAAGCUAGUCGAGUCCGAUUAAUAAUUAUGGCUUCGGAUUCGCCCAUAAUAAGAUUUGGUCAUUGAGCGUAAUUAUAACGUCAAAAUCCACGUGUGAUGCUGUAGAUGUGAUUGAUACACAUGUAACGUCCCAAAUUCACAUGCCAAAGCCAAGUCACAGACCCACAGUGUAAGAUUUAAUAAUACGGGAAAAUUUGGCACUUUCUCAAGAUCCUUAACACUUAAGCCAAAAGCACAAAAAACGAGCAGCCCUUGUGUGUGUGAACUCAAACUCUCCAAGUCAUCGAAGCUCCAAGAAGACCUUCUAGAAAAGGGACAAAAUAUCAAGAUGGAAAGAGACAUUUAUAGAUAUAGCCCCAGGCUGAGAUAAAUUCACAACAAUAGCCCUUUCAUUAUUCUUUAUUUUCAAUAAUUAGAAAAUGACCAUUUCAACCGACUGACUUUAAUGUCUCUAAGUAAUAGGUCCUUUCCCCGCCCACCACCACCCCCAAAAAAAACAAAAGAGUAAUAAGUUACGGUAGAGAUGCAAUGACAUGCAAUCAGACAACAAAAUUAUAUAAUUUAUCUAAAUGCUUAUAUGAAUUGUAUGCUGGCCUCUCAUGAACCAGUUGCUUAAUAUAUUAUUAUUUUUUGAACUUAGGCUAUUUUUGUAAAAUUGUCCAGAUCGAAGCUACUCUCCCACGAACUCAACUAUCCACUUUCUGUGUAUUUGUCUCUCUCUCUUCUCUCUCCUCUUCCCCUUCCACCACGUCACCUCCUCAAACCGCGUUUCUGCCGUCACCUCUCUCGCAUUCGCUCAACUACAAAAUUCAAUUGAUGAGAUAUUUUUCAAAAGGAAAAAAAUCAAAAUAAAUGUAAUUCUUAUCGAUCUUCUGGUGACUUUCUACUUUGACAAAUCCACACGCAAUCGUAAUACUAACAACCGCUCUCUCUCUCUCUCUCAACUCACUUUCUCAGAAAUUUCUUGUUUGCUUAAUCUAAUCUUACCCCUUAUUUAACACACACGCGCACUCUCUCUCCCUCCCUCUUAUCUCUCUCGUACAACACCAAACUUAAAGAUUUGAUUUUCCCCUGUUUUUGCUCUCUUUAAAUAACCCUUUUUAUAUAUUUGUAGAGAUUAGGGAUAUACAAAGAAAAGAUACCACAUUCGUCCCGGAUCAUACAUAAAUUUUCUGUUUUCUCGUGAAUUAGUGUCUGAGAUGGAGAACAAUCAGCAGUCGUUUUGGCAAUUCAGUGAUCAACUGAGGGUGCAAGCAUCAAACUUGGCUAAUCUGUCACUCAACGACUCGAUCUGGAGCAACAAUUAUGGGUCGAAGAGGCCGGAUGAAAGGAGGAAUUUCGACAUCAGAGUCGGCGGUCAAGUGAAUGUGAAUCCAUUCACUAAAGGGUCUGAUUUGAACGCCUUCGAUGAUGGUUACAAGAGUAUGAGCAGCAACUACAACGAUAUUGGCCUAGGCCCUAUCGGCCAGAUUAUGGCCCCUGCCUCGGCCUCUCAAAAGAAUGUUGGGAUCAACGGUGGAUUCAACAAAGGGAUUUAUUCAAAGCCAGGUCAUUUUGGUCUUAGCACCAUCAACACCAACAACAACAACAACAUCAACAGUUAUAUGAAUGUUAAUUUGAAGGGGAAUAGGAAUAGGGAAGAGAAUGAUCAUCAUGGACUUGGAAGCAAGAGUGGCAAGAAGAACAGCAACAAGAAGAACAAUAACAAAGAUGGUGACAAUAAUUCCGAUAAUAAGGACACUAAGACUGCUGCUGAUAAGAGGUUCAAGACUCUCCCACCCUCGGAGGCUUUGCCGAGACACGAAACCAUUGGUGGCUAUAUUUUUGUCUGUAACAAUGAUACCAUGGCUGAGAAUCUCAAAAGACAGCUGUUUGGUAUGUAUAUGCUCUCUUUUCCCUUUCCUUUUCUUCUUUUUUUUUUCAAAAAAUGUUUUUGUGUAGGAGCAAAUUAUUUUCUUCCUAGAUCAGAUUAUUAUUUGGACUAAGGAUCAUCAAUUUAUUUAUUAUUAUUAUUUUUUUAGAUGACCUAUAUGGGGUUGAAUUUUUUUUUUUUUUUUUUAACUUUUGAUUUUAAUUGUUGCUUUUAUUUUUCAGGAUUGCCACCACGUUACAGGGAUUCGGUGAGAGCUAUAACCCCUGGCUUGCCCCUUUUCCUUUAUAACUAUUCCACCCACCAGCUGCAUGGAGUUUUUGAGGUUUGUAAUUUCACAGUCAGUUUUUUGUGUCUCGUAAAGUUGUGUUUAUUUAAUUGACAUCCUGACGAUCUUUCUGUGUAGGCUGCUAGCUUUGGAGGCACAAAUAUUGAUCCUACAGCCUGGGAAGACAAGAAAUGCCCUGGCGAAUCACGAUUCCCAGCUCAGGUAAUUUUCAUCUCUGUUUUAUAUUUGUAGUCAUUGAACUUUUUUUUUAUCGUCGUGGAUUGUGAGAUUAAUGAUUUGAGUAUUGAUGAAAACUUCCUCUGUAUUUCCCCUCAGGUCCGGGUUGUUACACGGAAAAUCUGUGAACCGCUUGAAGAGGAUUCCUUCAGGCCAAUUCUCCAUCACUAUGAUGGCCCCAAGUUCCGCCUUGAACUAAAUGUGCCUGAGGUAAUUUGAUAUUAGUGUUAGUUUAGUCUAAACAUUUUGUUCACUGUGACUUCAUAUUUGAUUCUAAUUUGUCUUCUGGUUUGAUUUUUAACAGGCAAUUUCUCUCUUGGACAUAUUUGAAGAACAAGACUCUUGAGCAAUUGCUGCAAUACAACCAUAUGAAACAAAAGCUUACAGAUACAAGUACCAGUUAGUGAAGUUACACAGCAUAAAAGUGGUUUGAUGAUACAAAUAGGGAAAGAAUUUAAGAGUUUGUGGCCUUCAUUAUAUUGAUAGUUUAGAGAGAGUAUGUGAGGGGAAGUAUGAGAGCUGAAUAUGCACAGUGUCCUUGAUGUAAACAUUUUGUGAGGAGGCUGUUGUUGUGUGUUGUCCUUUUUGUUCUUUUGUUUUAGCUUAUACAUAAAUAAGAGCAAAUUAUAAAGACUUUAUCUAAAGUUCUGGUAUAAUACCGGUUUUAUUUGCAUAUGAUGAAUGCAAUGCAAAAGUUCUGGAUGUUUCUCUCUCUGUACCCUGGCAAGGAUAUGCUCUUCAUUCGAAGCCCCAUUCGUUUGU
This 10047-nucleotide long non-coding RNA is filed under the name Citrus maxima (pomelo). RNAcentral describes it as "long non-coding RNA (CMAX_LNC002035)". The record is from RNAcentral. Lineage: Eukaryota; Viridiplantae; Streptophyta; Magnoliopsida; Sapindales; Rutaceae.